CUGCAGUGAUGACCUUUUAGGACACCUUUGGAUAAAAGAUGAAACUAACUCAGAGUCUGAGCAGC
Small nucleolar RNA from Centropristis striata (black sea bass), 65 nucleotides. RefSeq annotates it as small nucleolar RNA SNORD58. The record is from RefSeq and is a predicted model, not a curated record. The transcript has a single exon. NCBI's taxonomy places the organism in Eukaryota, Metazoa, Chordata, Actinopteri, Perciformes, Serranidae.